RNAcentral lists this ribosomal RNA (870 nucleotides) under uncultured archaeon. Its description in RNAcentral is "bacterial SSU rRNA". It matches the Rfam family "Archaeal small subunit ribosomal RNA", at positions 1 to 878 of the family's 1478-position model. The record is from RNAcentral.
CUCCGGUUGAUCCCGCCGGACCUGACUGCUAUCGGAAUGAUACUAAGCCAUGCGAGUCAUUGUAGUAAUACAAGGCAGACGGCUCAGUAACGCGUAGUCAAUCUACCCUGUGGACGGGAAUAACCUCGGGAAACUGAGAACAAUACCCGAUAGAACAUUAUGCCUGGAAUGGUUUAUGUUUCAAAUGAUUUAUCGCCAUAGGAUGGGACUGCGGCCUAUCAGUUUGUUGGUGAGGUAAUGGCCCACCAAGACUAUUACAGGUACGGGCUCUGAGAGGAGUAGCCCGGAGAUGGGUACUGAGACACGGACCCAGGCCCUAUGGGGCGCAGCAGGCGAGAAAACUUUGCAAUGUGCGAAAGCACGACAAGGUUAAUCCGAGUGGUUUCUGCUAAAGAAACCUUUUGCCAGUCCUAGAAACACUGGUGAAUAAGGGGUGGGCAAGUUCUGGCGUCAGCCGCCGCGGUAAAACCAGCACCUCAAGUGGUCAGGAUGAUUAUUGGGCCUAAAGCAUCCGUAGCUCGUUUUGUAAGUUUUCGGUUAAAUCCAUGCGCUCAACGUAUGGGCUGCCGGGAAUACUGCAUAACUAGGAAGUGGGAGAGGUAGACGGUACUCGGUAGGAAGGGGUAAAAUCCUUUGAUCUAUUGAUGACCACCUGUGGCGAAGGCGGUCUACCAGAACACGUUCGACGGUGAGGGAUGAAAGCUGGGGGAGCAAACCGGAUUAGAUACCCGGGUAGUCCCAGCUGUAAACUAUGCAAACUCAGUGAUGCAUUGGCUUGUGGCCAAUGCAGUGCUGCAGGGAAGCCGUUAAGUUUGCCGCCUGGGAAGUACGUACGCAAGUAUGAAACUUAAAGGAAUUGGCGGGGGAGCA